GAAAUGACUAUUACAUUGUGGGAGCAGGAAAUAAAAUAAUAAGGAGAAAGCACAAGAAUAUAAGAUUGAAUGGUAUGAGUACCUCUGACGAACUUGGGGAAGAAUAUCAUGAUCAAGAAAUUCCUUUUGUAAGAUUAGAAGAAAUUGCCCUUGCAACUCAUGAUUUCUCUGAAACAUGUAUUAUUGGAAAGGGAGGCUUCGGGAAAGUUUAUAAGGGAAUUUUAGGUGGUCAAGAAGUUGCAGUCAAGAGGCUAAGCAAAGAUUCUCAUCAAGAACACACGAAUUCAAGAACGAAGUAAUUUUAAUUGCCAAAUUGCAACAUAGAAACUUGGUUCGCCUUCUCGGAUGUUGUGGCGAGGGAAAUGAAAAGAUCCUAAUAUAUGAAUAUCUUCCUAACGGAAGCUUAGAUGCCAACCUCUUCGAUGAGUCCAAAAAAUUGUUGUUGAACUGGCGAACACGGUUUAGUAUAAUCAAAGGGGUUGCAAGGGGUCUUCUCUAUGUUCAUGAAGAUUCCAGGUUAACCAUAAUUCACAGGGAUCUCAAGGCUGGAAAUGUUUUGCUAGAUGCAGAUCUGAAACCUAAGAUAGCAGAUUUUGGUAUGGCGAGGCUCUUUGGUGAUAACCAACAAAAUGCAAACACCCAACGUGUUGUCGGAACAUAUGGCUACAUGGCCCCUGAGUAUGCACUGGAAGGCAUUAUCUCUAUGAAGUCCGAUGUCUAUAGCUUCGGCGUGUUACUACUAGAAGUUGUAACCGGUAUAAGGAGAAACUCUAAUGGUCACACGAUGAGUUUCCCUAGUCUAACAGUUUAUGCAUGGAAUAUGUGGAAGGAAGGGAAGACAGAGGAAUUGGCAGACUCGACUCUGCUGGAUAACUAUUCACCAGAUGAAGUUUUGCUCUGCAUCCAUGUGGGACUCAUGUGUGUCCAAGAAAACCCAGAUGACAGGCCACUCAUGUCAAAUGUUGUGUUUGCCUUGGAGAAUGGAAGCACAACACUUCCAACCCCCAACAUCCCUGCCUACUUUGCACGACGAAGCGCGGAAAUAGAGCAAAUCAGGGUCGAUAUUCAAAACUCUGUGAAUAGUUUUACUCUUUCAGAGAUACAAGGGCGGUGAAGUAAUUUUGAUUUAAUAUUAUAUGUACUGGAAAACUAUUAUAUUGCCAGGUGAAGAA
This is a long non-coding RNA of Triticum aestivum (bread wheat), 1172 nucleotides long. RefSeq lists it as uncharacterized. The record is from RefSeq and is a predicted model, not a curated record. Lineage: Eukaryota; Viridiplantae; Streptophyta; Magnoliopsida; Poales; Poaceae. The transcript has 5 exons.